This 468-nucleotide ribosomal RNA is filed under the name uncultured bacterium. Its description in RNAcentral is "partial 16S ribosomal RNA". It matches the Rfam family "Bacterial small subunit ribosomal RNA", at positions 28 to 507 of the family's 1533-position model. The record is from RNAcentral.
GACGAACGCUGGCGGCGUGCUUAACACAUGCAAGUCGAACGGAAAGGCCCUGCUUUUGUGGGGUGCUCGAGUGGCGAACGGGUGAGUAACACGUGAGUAACCUGCCCUUGACUUUGGGAUAACUUCAGGAAACUGGGGCUAAUACCGGAUAGGAGCUCCUGCUGCAUGGUGGGGGUUGGAAAGUUUCGGCGGUUGGGGAUGGGCUCGCGGCUUAUCAGCUUGUUGGUGGGGUAGUGGCUUACCAAGGCUUUGACGGGUAGCCGGCCUGAGAGGGUGACCGGCCACAUUGGGACUGAGAUACGGCCCAGACUCCUACGGGAGGCAGCAGUGGGGAAUAUUGCACAAUGGGCGGAAGCCUGAUGCAGCAACGCCGCGUGCGGGAUGACGGCCUUCGGGGUGUAAACCGCUUUCGCCUGUGACGAAGCGUGAGUGACGGUAAUGGGUAAAGAAGCACCGGCUAACUACGUG